AUUUAAGAGAAAACUAGAAAUGGGACCAUCAGAAGAACAAGUGUCAUUUGAUUUAUAUAUGGUUUCCUAUAAUUGUGAAUACAUUCACUUUGGUUGCCUUGGUUUAUAUCACGUCAUAUAUUAUUUGUAAUAUAAAUUUAAGCAAUAUAGAGGCAAAUCCUACGAGGUUGUCUCCAUUGGUACUGUUCUGAUCCCAGGAUGGAGCACAGAUGUCUCUGAAAAUUGUCAGCAAUAGAAAAGAGUAAAAAACAAGAAGAACUGGAUGAAUGCAAAGACUUCUUUUGUUUUAAACAAGCUUGAAAAGUCUUGCAGAAGUAUUGCCAUUAAAAUUAUUUCAGGGGAUCCCUGGGUGGCGCAGCGGUUUAGCGAUGAGACCCGGAAUCGAAUCCCACGUCAAGCUCCCUGCAUGGAGCCUGCUUUUCCCUCUGCCUAUGUCUCUCCCUCUCUCUCUCUCUCUCUCUCUCUCUGUGACUAUCAUGAGCAAAUAAAUAAAAUCUUUUU
This 501-nucleotide long non-coding RNA is filed under the name Vulpes vulpes (red fox). RNAcentral's name for it is "lncRNA (ENSVVUG00000006288.1)". The record is from RNAcentral. Lineage: Eukaryota; Metazoa; Chordata; Mammalia; Carnivora; Canidae.